GGNGGNGGNAUNGNANAAACGUAAUCAUGCAAGUCGAGCGGCAGCGGAGGUGCUUUGUUCUUUUGCCGGCGAGCGGGGGAGGGGAGAGUAAUGUCUGGGAAACUGCCUGAUGGAGGGGGAUAACUACUGAAAACGGAAGCUAAUACCGAAUAACGUCCCAAGAGCAAGGAGGGGGACUUUCGGGCCUCUUGCCUUCAAAUGUGCCCAGAUGGGAUUAGCUAGUAGGUGGGGUAACGGCUCACCUAGGCGACAAUCCCUAUUUGGUCUGAGAGGAUGACCACCCACACUGGAACUGAGACACGGUCCACACUCCUACGGGAGGCAGCAGUGGGGAAUAUUGCACAAUGGGCGCAACCCUGAUGCACCCAUGCCGCGUGUAUGAAAAAGGCCUUCGGGUUGUAAAAUACUUUCAGGGGGGAGGAAGGCGUUGAGGUUAAUAACCUCGGCGAUUGACGUUACCCGCAAAAAAAGCACCGGCUAACUCCGUGCCAGCAGCCGCGGUAAUACAGAGGGUGCAAGCGUUAAUCGGAAUUACUGGGCGUAAAGCGCACGCGCGCGGUCUGUCAAGUCAGAUGUGAAAUCCCCGGGCUCCACCUGGGAACUGUUUUCGAAACUGGCAGGCUAGAGUCUUGUAGAGGGGGGUAGAAUUCCGGGUGUCCCUGUGAAAUGCGUAGAGAUCUGGAGAAAUACCGGUGGCCAAGGCGGCCCCCUGGACAAAUACUGACUCUCGGUGCGAAAGCGUGGGGAGCAAACAAGAAUAUAUACCCUGGUAGUCUGCGCCGUAAACNAUGUAACAUGGAGGUUGUGCUCUUUGAGGCGUGUUUUCCCGAGCUAACGCGUUAAUCCACCGCCUGGGGAGUACGGGCGCAAGGAUAAAACUCAUAA
This 885-nucleotide ribosomal RNA is filed under the name Enterobacter sp. LCR72. RNAcentral's name for it is "bacterial SSU rRNA". It matches the Rfam family "Bacterial small subunit ribosomal RNA", at positions 35 to 906 of the family's 1533-position model. Lineage: Bacteria; Pseudomonadati; Pseudomonadota; Gammaproteobacteria; Enterobacterales; Enterobacteriaceae. The record is from RNAcentral.